UUGACAGCCCUGGAACCUGAUGUCCUAAUUAUCCGCAGAACAGGUGCACAUGGGCAUUUUCCUGCCAACGUGACUCAGCCUGGAGAUGGAAAACCCUAUUCUCAGAUUAGAUGGUAGUUCAAUAUAAAACCAUCUCAAACUGUAGGCAUU
Molecule: unclassified non-coding RNA, 150 nt
Organism: Chelonoidis abingdonii (Abingdon island giant tortoise)
Lineage: Eukaryota; Metazoa; Chordata; Testudines; Testudinidae
Source: Ensembl